This 422-nucleotide ribosomal RNA is filed under the name uncultured bacterium. RNAcentral's name for it is "bacterial SSU rRNA". It matches the Rfam family "Bacterial small subunit ribosomal RNA", at positions 355 to 774 of the family's 1533-position model. The record is from RNAcentral.
UGAGGAAUAUUGGUCAAUGGGGGCAACCCUGAACCAGCCAAGUCGCGUGAAGGAUGAAGGUCUUAUGGAUUGUAAACUUCUUUUACACGGGAAUAAAGUGGGGGACGUGUCCCCCCUUGCAUGUACCGUGUGAAUAAGGAUCGGCUAACUCCGUGCCAGCAGCCGCGGUAAUACGGAGGAUCCGAGCGUUAUCCGGAUUUAUUGGGUUUAAAGGGUGCGCAGGCGGGAUGUUAAGUCGGCGGUGAAAUUUUGCAGCUCAACUGUAAAAGUGCCUUCGAUACUGGCCUCCUUGAGUGUGGAUGAAGUAGGCGGAAUUUGUGGUGUAGCGGUGAAAUGCUUAGAUAUCACGAGGAACUCCGAUUGCGCAGGCAGCUUACUAAGCCACAACUGACGCUCAUGCACGAAGGCGUGGGGAUCAAACA